RNAcentral lists this ribosomal RNA (250 nucleotides) under uncultured bacterium. RNAcentral's name for it is "partial 16S ribosomal RNA". It matches the Rfam family "Bacterial small subunit ribosomal RNA", at positions 524 to 773 of the family's 1533-position model. The record is from RNAcentral. RNAcentral also lists the same sequence under 1 other name.
UACGUAGGGGGCAAGCGUUGUCCGGAAUUACUGGGCGUAAAGAGCACGUAGGCGGUCUCUUAAGUCAGAUGUGAAAUAUGCCGGCUCAACCGGGAGGGUGCAUUUGAUACUGGGAGACUAGAGUGCAGGAGAGGAAAGUGGAAUUCCUAGUGUAGCGGUGAAAUGCGUAGAUAUUAGGAGGAACACCAGUGGCGAAGGCGGCUUUCUGGACUGUAACUGACGCUGAGGUGCGAAAGCCAGGGGAGCAAAC